UAAACUAAAAUUAAUAACUAUUUAUUUUCCCGAAGUGAAAAGAUCUAAUUAAACUCCGCUUUUUUAGAAGGAUUGCAGUAAUGUCGCAAAAUUACAGAGUCGAGCGUUAGUUAGGGGUGAUAGGCCAUUCAAUUUUCAUUGAUAACUGGAUUAAACUUAAAAAUAUUUAGUAUUUAAAUACAAACUCAAAAAUCUAAGCUUUUGAGUAUAUUAAAAUUAUGGUAAAAAUCUGUAAAGAAAACCAAUUUAUUAAUAUAAUAAGGUGCAAAACUACUAAUAAUUAAUUUCCUGCAUUAUUUAAGCUCUCUUAGGUUUAUAUAUUCAGGGAAUAUUUUUUCUGAUAUAAAUAAUGUUUAAAUGAGUAUAAAAAUUAUAAAAAAAAUAAGGAACUCGGCAAUUAUUUUCUUCAGCUGUUUAUCAAAAACAUAGCUAGUUGUUUUUGAUAAUUAGUAAUCUCUGCCCGGUGAUUUAAAAUUUAACGGCCGCAGUACACUGACUGUGCAAAGGUAGCAUAAUCAAUUGGCUAUUAAUUGUAGUCGAGUAUGAAGGAGUCCAUGGGGAAGUGCUGUCUUUUUUUUUUUCUUUGGAACUUACUAAGCAAGUGCAAAAACUUGCGAAGUCUCAUAAUAGACGAGAAGACCCUAUAAAUUUACUACUAAAUAUGGAAGAAUUCCAAGUUCGUUUUUGUUGGGGCAACAGAUUAACACAUAUUUACAAAUUUAAUUAAUUAUUUUAAUUUAUAAAACGAGUACUACUAAUAAUAAAUAAAUUACUAUAGGGAUAACAGCAUAAUUUAAAAAAUAAGAUUGUGACCUCGAUGUUGGAUUAGGAACUUAGCAGAUCAACAAUUUGCUUAUGGGGUUCUGUUCGAACUAUUAUACCUACAUGAUCUGAGUUCAGACCGG
Molecule: ribosomal RNA, 905 nt
Filed under: Clausilia corynodes corynodes
Lineage: Eukaryota; Metazoa; Mollusca; Gastropoda; Stylommatophora; Clausiliidae
Description: partial 16S ribosomal RNA
Source: RNAcentral